UACGAAGGGGGCUAGCGUUGCUCGGAAUUACUGGGCGUAAAGGGAGCGUAGGCGGACAUUUAAGUCAGGGGUGAAAUCCCAGAGCUCAACUCUGGAACUGCCUUUGAUACUGGGUGUCUUGAGUGUGAGAGAGGUAUGUGGAACUCCGAGUGUAGAGGUGAAAUUCGUAGAUAUUCGGAAGAACACCAGUGGCGAAGGCGACAUACUGGCUCAUUACUGACACUGAGGCUCGAAAGCGUGGGGAGCAAACAGG
Molecule: ribosomal RNA, 253 nt
Filed under: uncultured bacterium
Lineage: Bacteria
Description: partial 16S ribosomal RNA
Rfam family: Bacterial small subunit ribosomal RNA
Source: RNAcentral